UUGAGAACCAUUUUUCUUUGCCAAAUUUUUAAAUUAAUAUUCUUUGUUAUUGCUUCCAAAUUUGUCUCCUCAUUCCACCCAAAUCUUUAAUUCAAUUGAAGAGUAAGCCAUGAACAGAAAGAUUAACUAAGGUUUAAUUCCCAUACUUCUGAGUCUCAUGACCCUUUAACACUUAAAAGUAAGGACCUCAAAGAGCUUUUGUUUAUGUUGGAUAUAAUUCAUCAGUAUUUUCUUCAUGAGAAAGAAUUUAAUAUCUAUGUAUUUAUUUAAAAACAAUAAUAUAGGAGUUCCCUGGUGGCCUCACUUUUAAGGAUCUGGCAUUGUCACUGCUGUGGCUUGGGUCACUGCUAUGGCGCAGGUUUGAUCACUGGUCCAGGAACUUCUGCAUGCAGUGAGCUUAGCCAAAAAACAAAACAAAACAAAACAAACAGUGAUAAGCCCAUUGCAUGUUUGUGUAAAUUACAUAUUUUAUGAAAAUGAGCUAUAUUUUUCAGAAAAAAAAUCAGAGUACCAUUGUUAAACUGUUACAAAUAUCUUUAAUGUCUCCCUAAAUAGAAGACAGCUGAAUUCUCAUCUGCCUCUUUCAUCUUAUCGGUAGAUGUUGUUUUGGUUGAAGUAGGUAAAGAAAAUUCCACAUAGACAUGUAGUUGGAAAAGAGAAGGGUAUUUCAAUUGCCUUUUCAAGUACUUCUAGAUAUUUUUCUUUAAUACUUGCCCAAACUCACCAAGUAUGCAGUCAUCUCUUAAAUGUUACUAUGUUACGUUAAAAUUCUUCUUUCACUUGGAAUGGCUCUUUUACCCGUAGCUUGGUGACAUGAAGAAUACUGGUUUACUGAGUUGCGCUGCUUCUAAAGCUUUUGACAUAUUGUCAAGUUUAUUGUUCUAAUAUCAAAAAUCCUGACCAUCAGCAUCACCACAAAUCUUAGCAGUUUCUUCAAGCAUUAGGUUGUUGUCAAGCUCACAGCAGUGAUGAGUUUUCCAAAGUUCUAAUUUUCACUUGAAAACUUGGAUUUUAUCUUGGGCAAAAAAAUACUGCCAAUUGUUUCCCUUGAAGUGAGUCUGUCACUUCCUAAUUUUUGAGAAAAUGUUUGACAAAUACUCAAGUAUGAAUAACUAUAAUUUGUAAGUCGUUCUUUCAGACAAAAACUUGUGUAUGUUCUGUGGACAAUGGCUAUUUAGCUUGCAGCCCAUAGAAUUAAAUGUGCACUUGAGACAAACAUCCUACUUCAGUGUGUAGCAAAAGUGGCUUAUGUGGCCUUCCCGUUUGUCACACAGGACGUUUUUUAAGCAUAACUUAAUAGUUGAGAUAUAAUAGGAUUCAUCAUUUUUAUGUUUUAUCAGAUACAUUCUUAAGAGAAACUGGCUCUUUUUUUUUUUUUUAACUGCACAUGCCUGAUAUUAAAGAAUUCAAUAUCUGCUACCAUAGUUUGGUGCUGCUGUCUUGAUAUUUGCUUACAUACCAGCAGGGGAAUUACACUGUUGGUGCAAAUAUCAACACAGUGAAAAAGGCAAAUAACACCUUAUAAUCAUAUUGAAAAACGUUUUUGACCUUGGUAACCUCCAGAGGCCCACAGAAUAACUUUGAGACCUGCUUAUCUUUGAUCAUUGUUCUACUCCACGUUUCAUUUGAAUGGUAUAGAAGAUAUCUUCUGAUAGACUAACAAUACUUCUUCAGACUAGAACUUAGUAGAUCCCAAGAACUGUAUGUGGCAUUCCAGAAACAUACCUCUCACUACCACCAAAAUGGUGGGAAGAUAAAGUUGUUCUUGAUAAAACUCAGAGGUUAGAAAUGUGUCUAUGUCAUUUUAGUUUUUCUUGAUGGAGCUAUUUGUGAACUUAUUUAUACCUUUUUGAACAUUUUUUCCACAUUUAGCCUACAUAUGUUGGAGUAAUAAGUUUUGAAACCUUACAUAUCAGCCCUACUUUUUCCUUUUUUUCCCUUAAAGAAUAGGUUCCAGUUCCAAGGAAUGUGGUGAAAGAAAUACAUACUCACUCACUUUCCAGUACAACUGUGCAUUCAAAUUAGGUGCUCAAUACAUAUCUGGUUGACCAUACAAUUUAAUUUGUAUACCCUUUAUAAUCUUGCUAGUUUUAUGGUCUAAUGGUGACUUUUAACCUCCAUCCAGCUAGGCAGAAGAGGGCUAUUUUUUUAGAUUUCUAUAACAUUUGAAGGCAAAAGUAAGGCUGUAUAUUGAAAACAGAAUGAUUAAGGAAACUGUGGCAUACUAAAACAUAAGCCUGCUCCCUUUUCAAAGGCCUUUCCAUGGUACAGCCAUGACAGCCAAGACCCUGGCUGCUGGCCUUAUCCACACACUCCUAUCAUCAGGCAGCUGAAUGAUCCUGAGAAAACUGAGAAGCCCAAGAGAUAAGACUUAAAGAUAACUGGCAUUGGGGUUUCCCCAAAGAACCAGAUGAGUCUUAUGUACAGAAAGGUCUCCCAUUGUACAAGCUGUACUUGAUAUAGAAGAAAGAGGAAGAUGGUAUCCAACAGAAGAAAGGUGAUAACAAUUUCUAGGCUGUUAACUGAAUGAACCCCUGGGUUAAUAAUUUAGUAAGAAACAAGAGGAAGCAGUCUAAGAUGGACAUCUCCAAGGGGGGGAAAUGGAACGUAGAAAUUACCCAUUAAAUUUGACCAUAUCGAGGGAAAUUUUGGAGACCUGAAUAGAGAAUUGGGAGAUAAAUUAAUAAAUAGAAAACUAUGCAAAUAGAUCCCAGUGGGAACUAUAUGUAAUCACUUAUGAUGGAGCAUGAUAAUGUGAGAUAAAGAAUGUAUAUAUAUAUGUGUGUGUGUGUGUGUGACUAGGUCAACUUGCUGUACAGCAGAAAAUUGACAGAACACUGUAAACCAGCUAUGAUGGAAAAAAAAAUCAUUUAAAAGAAAAAAAAAA
Molecule: long non-coding RNA, 2887 nt
Filed under: Sus scrofa (pig)
Lineage: Eukaryota; Metazoa; Chordata; Mammalia; Artiodactyla; Suidae
Description: lncRNA (ENSSSCG00005022746.1)
Source: RNAcentral